RNAcentral lists this long non-coding RNA (263 nucleotides) under Bos taurus (domestic cattle). Its description in RNAcentral is "long non-coding RNA NONBTAT023086". The record is from RNAcentral. Lineage: Eukaryota; Metazoa; Chordata; Mammalia; Artiodactyla; Bovidae.
CUUAUAUGUCUUUUCCUUCAAUUCAUGUGCUUUGGGAAAAAAUGUAUUCAAGUGAGAAUGAGUCUCUCAGUGCUUUCAUCAGAUGAGGUGCACCCCAGAAACAGACAAGGUUAGAAACAGACCCAGCCUUUGACCACAAGAAACUUCCUCAUGUGCACCUGUAGAGUGACACAGGCUUGUCUGAGUCUCCUUGUCUCCCAGGGUAUGCUUGGAAGCACGUGUGCCUGCUUUCAGUUGUCACAGAGACUGGAUGGAGCUACUAC